RNAcentral lists this ribosomal RNA (466 nucleotides) under uncultured bacterium. Its description in RNAcentral is "partial 16S ribosomal RNA". It matches the Rfam family "Bacterial small subunit ribosomal RNA", at positions 28 to 507 of the family's 1533-position model. The record is from RNAcentral.
GAUGAACGCUGGCGGCGUGCUUAACACAUGCAAGUCGAACGGAAAGGCCCAAGCUUGCUUGGGUGCUCGAGUGGCGAACGGGUGAGUAACACGUGGGUGAUCUGCCCUGCACUUUGGGAUAACCCUGGGAAACUGGGUCUAAUACCGGAUAGGACCAUCGUUUAGUGUCGGUGGUGGAAAGUUUUUCGGUGUGGGAUGAGCUCGCGGCCUAUCGGCUUGUUGGGGGGGUAAUGGCCUACCAAGGCGUCGACGGGUAGCCGGCCUGUGGGGGUGUACGGCAACCUUGGGACUGAGGGACGGCACCGACGCCUACGGGAGGCAGCAGUGGGGAAGAUUGCACAAUGGGCGCAAGCCUUAUGCAGAGACGCCGCGUGGUGGAUGACGGCCUUCGGGUUGUAAACGGCUUUCGCCAAGGACGCAGCGUGUUGUGACGGUACUUGGAGAAGAAGCACCGGCUAACUACGUG